RNAcentral lists this ribosomal RNA (229 nucleotides) under uncultured Rhizobium sp. RNAcentral describes it as "partial 16S ribosomal RNA". It matches the Rfam family "Bacterial small subunit ribosomal RNA", at positions 94 to 339 of the family's 1533-position model. The record is from RNAcentral. Lineage: Bacteria; Pseudomonadati; Pseudomonadota; Alphaproteobacteria; Hyphomicrobiales; Rhizobiaceae.
AGUGGCAGACGGGUGAGUAACGCGUGGGAAUCUACCCAUCUCUGCGGAAUAGCUCUGGGAAACUGGAAUUAAUACCGCAUACGCCCUACGGGGGAAAGAUUUAUCGGGGGAUGGAUGAGCCCGCGUUGGAUUAGCUAGUUGGUGGGGUAAAGGCCUACCAAGGCGACGAUCCAUAGCUGGUCUGAGAGGAUGAUCAGCCACAUUGGGACUGAGACACGGCCCAAACUCC